ACCUAGGAUAUGUUUUGUUUGGAUAAUAACAGACUACAAAACUGUUAGAUAAAGUGCACAAAAUGAUAAAAUACUACCAGAACUAGCAAAAAAAAAUAUAUUACAAAUUGAAUAUUGUUUACGUAUCUGUCUCUGUAAUCAAAUAUUACAAUGAAAUAGAAUUUUAACGUUUAGACUUGUUUUGACGGAACAAUCAAAAUAUCUCAGAAUAUUUAUACAGACAAAAAAGAACUGAUACUGGGGAUGGGAGCGGUCAGUUUUAGGUGAGAAGUUGGGAAAGUAGGAUACAUAAGGUUAUUUGAUUUAUAUCUGUAAACAACGAUAAACCAUUGAUUGACGAAAAACGAUUUCGAACAGUUUGGAAACACAUAAUUUGAAGUGCCGUAAUUUUUUUUGCGAUUUUCGUUUAAAUUUGAUUUCAAAACGCUUAUCAAAAAAAAGUCGUCGGAUGAUUUUUAAAAUUUUAC
This is a non-coding RNA of Cinara cedri, 467 nucleotides long. NCBI's taxonomy places the organism in Eukaryota, Metazoa, Arthropoda, Insecta, Hemiptera, Aphididae. The record is from the annotation of a GenBank genome assembly.